ACUGAGCGGCGGACGGGUGAGUAACGCGUGGGUAACCUGCCUCAUACAGGGGGAUAACAGUUAGAAAUGACUGCUAAUACCGCAUAAGACCACGGUACCGCAUGGUACAGUGGUAAAAACUCCGGUGGUAUGAGAUGGACCCGCGUCUGAUUAGGUAGUUGGUGGGGUAACGGCCUACCAAGCCGACGAUCAGUAGCCGACCUGAGAGGGUGACCGGCCACAUUGGGACUGAGACACGGCCCAA
Molecule: ribosomal RNA, 244 nt
Filed under: uncultured bacterium
Lineage: Bacteria
Description: partial 16S ribosomal RNA
Rfam family: Bacterial small subunit ribosomal RNA
Source: RNAcentral